CUACGGGCGGCUCCAGUGGGGAAUCUUAGACAAUGGGGGAAACCCUGAUCUAGCCAUGCCGCGUGAGUGACGAAGGCCCUAGGGUCGUAAAGCUCUUUCACCAGGGAAGAUAAUGACGGUACCUGGAGAAGAAACCCCGGCUAACUCCGUGCCAGCAGCCGCGGUAAUACGGAGGGGGUUAGCGUUGUUCGGAAUUACUGGGCGUAAAGCGCGCGUAGGCGGACGGUUAAGUCGGGGGUGAAAUCCCGGGGCUCAACCCCGGAACUGCCCUCGAUACUGGCAGUCUUGAGUUCGAGAGAGGUGAGUGGAAUUCCGAGUGUAGAGGUGAAAUUCGUAGAUAUUCGGAGGAACACCAGUGGCGAAGGCGGCUCACUGGCUCGAUACUGACGCUGAGGUGCGAAAGUGUGGGGAGCAAACAGGAUUAGAUACCCCCGUAGUC
RNAcentral lists this ribosomal RNA (439 nucleotides) under uncultured bacterium. RNAcentral describes it as "partial 16S ribosomal RNA". It matches the Rfam family "Bacterial small subunit ribosomal RNA", at positions 339 to 795 of the family's 1533-position model. The record is from RNAcentral.